GUUGAAACAGCCUACUUUUGGAUCUAGAACUGCACAAGCCGUUCAUUUUCAGUCACCUGACGAGUUAAACUCCCCUUUUUAUGUGAGGUUGAAGCAGAAAGUCUGAGUUAACAAAGAAAGUUCUUUAUAAUUUGCAAUACCUGUUAUCUCUGACUGAGGCUUUAGUUUUAGUUGAACUGAUUUAUGCCUAGAAACUUUGUUCAGGAAGAUUUCUCAGUAGCUCAGAGGAUAGGCUGCUUUUUACACAACCUUGUAAGAGAAUGUCUGUCAGUGCUUUCAGCAGAAUUUAGAAACACAACACUUCCUAAACAGAUAUUUUGAGGCUGUGAGGCUGAACGUUUGAGAGUAUAUAUGAAAUAGAAACACACAAGUAUCUGAUUGAAGGAACUUCUGUAGAGUCCUGGUUCCAGAAGAUGAUGAUAGAAUUAUAGACAAACUUUAACAAAAGCUGCCUGAGAGUUUACAGGUUUUUAAUGUUAGAUUUAUUCAGUAAUUUAAUGAGUUAUCAGCAAAAAUCGUGUUCAUUUGAUGAACUUCAUUUCCUAAAACAUCCAGAAUUGGAGCUCAUAUCUUUGGCAGCUGUAAAGUUUCUGCUCCUUCAAAGUUCACAACACAAUGAAUUAAUUCCUAAAACACUCUCAAUGCUGGAGAGCGUUUGUGAUGCUGAAGCAGUGACCAGUUUUUCUGUUUCUUCUCUGGAGAUGCACAAUGAGGGACGUCUGCAGCGACUGAGAAAGAGUCUCACCACAUCCUGACAUGAGGAAAAAGACUUUAUUGAAGACUACAAUGAGAAAAACUAUCAGACAGCAGACGGCUGCAUUCAAGAGAGGAAGACCAUCAAACAUCCACGUCAGCUGAUGGAGGUCCAAGAGUCUCACCAAACAAACAACCUACAGACGUGUGCCGAGUAAUGGAGGGGGCGUUUCCAUGAAGCACGUAUCGAGGCUUGCUUCAUUUAGGGGAGGAGCCAAAAUGAUGACGUCCGAAGCCUCACUGCCUGGCUGAACCACGUGACUGCUUCGGAAAGGGGUUCAGAUUUUGCCGUGAGGUUUGACAGCAACAUAAACCCCUAAGGCUCCGUUCAAAAUGUGGGAUUUUGAUAGAGAGUUGCGGUCAGUUGAGAGUUUGAAUAGCUUGAAUACUAGAGUCUGGAGAGUGUUUAUAUAGUCUGGAUAUAGUUUGGAGAUUUUAGAGAGUAGAAAGAUAGUUUGGAGAUUUAGGAGAGUGAGGAGAGAAGGAUGGGUUUUAGGAAGGAGCCAGCUAGGAAGAGGAGGAUUUCCCCUGUGUGGGAACAUUUCAAUUUGAUGAUUCCUAAUCAGGUAAGCUGAAUCUAACAUUAUUACAGACGCAUUAGCUUUGGUUACCAAGAACUGUAUUUUUCACUGUUAUUUUAUUCAAAGGUGAGGUGAUUAUUGUGUGUGUCAAAAAAGGAAUAGUUUAAAACCAAAAACUGUUGAGAAACUGUUAUUUCUGAAUAAAAGGAAUAAACUGUCCCCUUUCCUGUGCAUCAUUGUCCAAGUUACACAGCAUAUUCAGUAGGAUCUUCCUAGUUCCACACUUUCACUGUCCUUUGCCUGCUUAAGGCCAUGGCAUUUUCUUAAAGUGACAGAAAAUCAUUACACAACCUGCCACAUUAUAUGAUUCUACCAUUUUGGGGAAAAUUCACACACACAGAAUACAUGAAAAUAUAUUUUAUUCUACACGUGAGAAUUUAUCUACAGAAAUUAUUUGGUCAUACAUUUUCUUAUAUUUCAUAGUCAUUCCCAACAGCCAUAACAGAUAAAAAUUCAAUGCAUCAGACAUGUGGUUCAGAUACAGCUGCCUGUGAUUAUACACCUGGCCAGUAGGUGGCUUCGUGUGCUCAUGAAGCUUCAAGAAAUGAAGCGUUUUUCUAACCAAUUGGCUCAAGUGGUUCAAUGCCUCAUGAGGCUUCAUCUCACCAGAACUACUACAGAGUGAAGACCUCAAAUCUGAUUGGAUGGCCUCCUAUUCAGCCACGUGUGAACAAAUGCCUCUAAGCUGAUUUGUUUUCUAAAAUACAUCUAGUUUGAGUCCUAAUCUAUGCCUGUGUGUUUGCUUCUUUACACCGCUGUUAACAGUUUAGGCUGUUAGAUUGUUCCAGAUAAGACAAGUACAAGAUUCUUCAGAGCUGUUCUACCACGAGCCUGACAGGAAGAAAUCCAACAGCUACUGAAUGUUCCUGUGGUUCCCUCAAGGCUACAGGAGGAGCCCUACGAGGACGAGCCGGUCCACCUGAUGGCGGCCAGUCGCUGCGGUUCAAAGCCAACACCGACUACAUGGACUUCUACUGGACCACACGGAGGCCUUCAAACCGGACCAACAAGUUCAGCGACUCCCCGACUUGUGGGUCUGAGGACGUCACCGAGCCUCGGUCCAGCCGGCCUCCUGUCUGUGGGUGUUUGAGUGCUGAGAGGUUUGUGGAUGCAUGUGAACGUGUCUGUGUUGAAACAGCAGCUUUUGACUCAGUAACGCCGGGAAAAACCAAGAGCUCCUUUAUUUGUGACUUCCACUAAAAAAACUGAUGAAAAUAAGUUUGCCAGGGUUCUGACUGAUAACAGAUUAUUAAAUAAUGAAAAUAAAAAUUUAAAUAUUCCUUUAAACAAUCCUUUUAGGUCUACGUUUCCUUUACACUGACUUCUUGGUAUUUUGGGUGGAAUAUACCAUUAAGCCCGAUGUUCAAGGGUUCUUCUGGGAAUAUACCAAUAAACCAACCUUUUAAGUAAAUGUUCCAGGAUGUUGGGUAGAAUGUACCAUCAGAUAAACCUUUUAGGUCUACAUUGGAAGACUUUAGAAUAUUACUCCAAACCAUCCUUUAGGUCUACAUUUAAGGUGGAAUACUCCUUUACACCAAGAUUUUUUUUGGUCUACAUUGAAAGAUUUUAGGUGGAAUAUUCCUUUGAACCAACUUUUUAAGUUUAUGUUCAAGGAUGUUGGGUGGAAUAUACCAUCAGACCAACCUCCAAGGUCUACAGUAGUGAAUUUUAAGUGGAAUAUACCAUUAAACUCACCUUUUAGGUCUACAUUGGAGGAUUUUAGGUGGAAUUUUCUUCCAAACCGUCUUUUAAUCUACAUUUAAGGAUGUCUAGGAUGGUAUAUUCUUCCAAACCAACUUCUCAGGUCUACAUUUCAGGUGGAAUAUUCCUCCAUACUAACUUUUUUGGUCCACAUUGAAGAAUUUUUCUAAACCACCCUUUCGGGUCUAUAUUUGGGGUUUUAGGUGGAAUAUUCCUUUUAACCAGCCCCUCAGGUCUCUGAGGAUUUUGGAUGAAAUACUCGGUUAAAGCAACAUUUUAGGUGCAUGUCCAAGGAUUUUUGCUGGAAUGUUCCUUUAAGGUGGAUGUUUGAGGACCUUGUAGGUGGAAUACUUCCUGAAACCAACCUUUUAGGUCAACAUUCAAAGAUUUAAGGUGGAAUAUUCCUUUAAACCAACCUAAAUUUCAUGUUUUGAUCAUUAUCAAGUGAGAAACCUCAAUCCAGACUCCUCAUAAUGACGUUUGAGAUUUAUGCUGCUGUUAUUUGUUUAGUCCAGACUAAAUGACAGAAAUCUACAACUGUAAUUUUAUUUCAGGACUCAGUUAUUAAAUGUCAAAACAAUCCAUGUGACUCUAAAAACUCAACAGCUUUACAAACUCUAAGAUUAAACUCUCCACAAGGAUCCAAAAUAAGUUGGACUUCUACACGAGAGCUUUAAUUAUUCUUCAUCUACUUCCUGAAAAGUUUGGUCAAUAAAAAAGACAAAAACUAAUAUUUUUAGCUGAACUAAAGACAGACUUUGUGAUUUUUUUGCUCACAUGUUGUGUUGUUGUAAACUUACUCUUUCAAAUAAAUAGCCUCCUAACCCCCUGGAAACCAGUGUUUGUC
This is a long non-coding RNA of Amphiprion ocellaris (clown anemonefish), 3882 nucleotides long. The record is from Ensembl. Lineage: Eukaryota; Metazoa; Chordata; Actinopteri; Pomacentridae.